Anguilla rostrata (American eel) is the source of this 949-nucleotide long non-coding RNA. RefSeq lists it as uncharacterized. The record is from RefSeq and is a predicted model, not a curated record. The transcript is spliced from 5 exons. Lineage: Eukaryota; Metazoa; Chordata; Actinopteri; Anguilliformes; Anguillidae.
ACCGUUCUCUCGCCAUCAAAUGGAAAAAGAAGUGACGUAAUGUAGGUACAGACGGGUUUCCUGUAGCCACAACGAUAGUAACUGGAGUGACGUGUGACGCGUUGCUCAGGUGUCUCACACACCUGCCAAUAUUAACCUUUCGGACGCUGUCUCGGUGGCGGAAAAAACACUCAGAGACUAUAACUAGCCACAACUGGAUAAAGGGGCACAAGUAUUCCAUGAAGAAUGUUUAAUUACGAAGGCCCUGGAGAGCCACAGGCUCUGCUGGUUUUUGUUUUCAACUUAAAGUCAGCACCCAGUUCAGACCAGACCCAAGCAACCAGGCGAAGUGAGUUCACCGUACACUCAACUUCUUUAACUGAAGGAGACCCUGCAGGCCCAUGGAAUGCUCAGCUGGAAUGUUUUGCAGCCGAAGAAACGGGGCUGGAGGUGUUAGGCCACACCCUUCAGGACAGCUGCACAGCGGCCAUUUUUACAAGGGCAGUACCUUCGUCGAUGUCGGGAGGGAGCCCCCCCACGAAGACCUUGCGGGAGUAGCGCUCCACGCGCUCGCCGUUCUGGUGGGGGAAGCCCAGCCCAGCCACGCCCUGGUCCCCCCUCUCCUCGUCCGCAAAGCCGUCCUCCAUCGGGAACAAGGACGAGUGACCUGUCAAUCACAAGGACACCACAACUGCCCCAGUGUACCCCAGUGCUUCUGCAUCUGCCCCAGCUACUGCCCUGUGUGCCCCAGUCUAUCCACUUGGGCACUGAGUGAUGGGAGGUCACAGGAAGUGGUUUGCACAGUGCAGCCAAUGGGCUCUGGGGGGGUGGAACUGAGCAUGCCCAGUACGAUGUGUUCCAUCCAGUGCUAAUGCCAAGUGGAGCCCAUCUCCACCAGCUGUUCUUUGUAGGUUACUCUUGUGUACAAACACACUCACACACACGCACGCACGCACACACGCGCACACAC